CAGACUUAUAAUUUAUAUAUAUAAAAGUUCACAUCAUUAACAAAUACAGAAAUGAAAGCUUUUGAAAUUCUCAAGCUGUUCAACUGCCAACUUGGGAAACCUACAAAUCUGGACAUUUAAAAAGUAAGAAAUAGACAAAUUUUUUUAAUUUCUUAACUUCUUAAUUUUGAAAUUAAGCAUAUGCUACACUGUUGCUAUGUCAACAUUUCACGAGUACCGCCAUAUUGGUACAGACGUACCUGCCUCUGCUUCAACAUUAAAUAUAUUAUAGCCUAUACUAUAAUAUAUUAUACUAUUGUAGUAUGUACUAUACAUAUUAAAUAUAUUGUAGCAUUAAAUAUAUUCGUAAAAUAAUAAAAUUUUGUUUCGGUACAACUUAGUACGUAUUUCCGUGUUACAGUAAAGUUACCCGUGUCCAAAACUUUGUGUUCAAAGCGUACACGAAAUUUGCUAAGUACUCUAUUAGUUUUGAAUGGUAGAAGUUUCAUCGCAAAACGUCGGUGUCUUUUCUCCACCAUGCUUAUAUAAUAUGUACAAUAACGUGCGCUCGUUGAAUGUCUCUUUUUUUUGUUUUUGUCAUUUUUUGUUCUUUACUGUCGCGAAACGUAGUAUCGUUCCGAUCGACGACGGAUCGAGAAGGUAUAAAAAAAAGGCCAGGGACACUGACACUUAUCUCCAUCCACCUAGAAACUAAGAUAUUUACAAAUCUACAAGCGAAUGUGCCUCGUCUACAUUGUCUAUGAGUAGGCUGCACAGAAUCAAAGCGUAUCAAAACGACACUUUUCCUUUUUUGCGCGAUAAAACGUUAAUCAUCUCGUAGAUUACAGUGCUCUCCCAAAUGAAUCGCACCGACUCGACGAAUCUCUCGACUAUACUUCGUCUCGUCUAUUUUUUUUACUUUUCUGUUUCGUUUAACCCCCGUCUCGAUUUUCUUUGCUCUUAAAUUGAAAAAAUACUAUGUCAUGUACAGAUUGUACGCACUGUGCGCGAUCGAAUCGAUCGACCUCAGAAGAUAACAACCUACGUAACGCUAGAAAUAGAAAUAGAAGUAGAAAUAGAAUUCUAUGGGAAUCGGCGAGGGUGUCUAAGACAUGCCGCUCAUCGACCACGUACACUUACGAUGCUCUAUUUACACGACGACGAUCGUACGCGUCAUGAUAUUAUAAGUACUCCGUUUGUUAUUUCAUUUUUCGUUUAUCUUCCUUCGGAUCUCGUCCGAAGAGAAUCGUUCAUUUCGUCGAGAUGAAAUCUAACCAGAAGAAUGCGUGGCUAUUUAUUGUAUUCGCAGUUUGUACUAAAAUUUUGCCUUGUUUCGCAACAAGGGCUGAGAAACACGCUUGUGAACGCGGCAUCUCGACUCGUGAAUGAGUAGUCGGUGGAAUAUCCAGUUAUGAUUGUAUAAUGAACUGCAACUUAGGCUUUCGUUGGUUAAAAACAAGCAUAAAUGAAGAAAUUCACCAUUUGCCGUUGAUUAACUCUGGGGAGAGCCUGAAGAAACCCUAGGAAAACUUAAAUUCUAAAGGGAGGUCAUACAGGAUUGGGAGAGAUAGGAAGAUAACAAUAGGAAACUAGGAAUAAUACUAGAAAACUAAGAACAACAUUAGAAAAUUAAGGAUUACAAUAGGAGACUAGGAAUGAUACUAGGAACCCACUCAGAUCAAGAUCAUAGAAGCAUGUAGAGGAUCAUGAUAGAAUUUAGGGUGAACUCUAAGAGAACCCUAAAGAAAUCUAAAGGAGAUAUUGAUAUCUAAAGAAGAUAUAGUUUAGGAACAUAGGAAAUGGCUAAGGAACUUAGGAAAUAUACAAAGGAAUUUUAUAAGUUCAAGAGUUGGGGACUUUGAGAAGUUGGAACCUUGGGAUUUUGAAAGACUAAGAUGAGGUUAGUGAGUUUUAGAUUAUUAAGAUCUUUAUAUUAUAGCAUAACAUUUUGGAAUCUUGGAGAAUUAUGAUGGAUUGUUGAAAAAGAUAUAGUCCAUAACGGUCCAGAAAGAACCUAGAACUUAAAAUACACUUAGAACUUAGGUACAACCUAAAUGUACCUAGAAGCAACCUAGAUGUGACCUAAGGUAAACACAGAAGGAUCCUAGAAAUAUUCUAAGGAGAAUUUUGGAAAUCUAGAAAUGUCUUAGGAGCAGCCCUGGGAUAACCUAGGGUAAAAUCAGUUCUCCAGUUCUCCACAGACCAAAAAUGAUGGAACCUUCCUUCAUAUUUUUGCCUAAUUAGAGAAAGCCUAAGUUGCACCGUACUUCCGUGUAUGAUUGAUCCGUCAACUCUCCAACAACAAGAAUCUAACCGGAAGUCGGUAUUCUUCCCACCGACAAGGAAACAUCGUGGAGAAAUAGAAAAAUGAUCGAGUAGAAAAAUGUCUUCACAUGUAGCCGUCCGGCAAAUAUCAACUUGGAAACAGUAACGAGCGUAGCAAACAAAAAAGAUCGUGUAGCACCUUGUCUCGUAUCACCAGCGACCUUAUCGUCGUUAAACUUAAGAAAGAAAAGGAAACGGAAAGAGACAACUCUUCGUGAUUAACACCUUGACGGCAAUCAGUCACUACACUGCACCGCGUGAUUCGAAGGUUAGGACAAAAUGUUUUGAAACCAACCGAACUUAUCGCGAAGAACGCGACGCAGUGAUCAGGUCAGGUUAGACUUAUCUCCAACCGUGAUAAUUUGUUGAAAAUGGCGGUUUGUUCGCGAAACAUUUCCUCGAAACGAAAACGAGAAAUUGACUACUCUACGUAAGAUUUCUAAAUGAGUGUCGAUAUAAGGCAAGAGGUUAAAUACAAAAUGGAGAAAGUUGCAAGAGCUUGAAUGACACGAGAGGCCGUCAAAGCGUCGUUCUAAGUACGUUUCAAGAGUAUUGGAAAGAUUCGCUAAAAGCUCGAGGCUGUGUUGAAGAACAGGCCAUUUUCUUCGAUUGAUCAAAAUACAAGGCUUGGGCUUCGAUUUUGCUGAUUUGUGACUCUUUGAUGAAGAUCUCAUGGAAGAUAGCCCGGACUUAAAUGGCAGAGGAGUAUAGCCAGUUUUGCCCACUUUUCAGAUUAACAAAUUUUCCUUUCAUGCAACUUCAUUUGUGUCAACAUAACAAAGUACAGUAUUAAAUGAACCAAAUCCCACAGAAGAAACUCUUCGAAUCGCUUCAGGGCAAUGUUACAUCUGGCGAGUGAGCUGAAUGAAUCUACCGUACAACAUCUUUCUCAUAUACAUAUACAGCUUUUACUGAGCGAGCUUAAUGGAUGUUUCAUGUUAACAAUGUCUGACAUCCAACAAGAACUGUGUUUACAAACAUGACCUACCUUCGUAAACAGAGUUGUUCUGCACGCUGACUGAGUGGGAAAAUUCCAAUAUAAAACGAUUUAUUUGGGAAUAUUUCGAUGUCUAUUUUUCGACGACAACAAGUAGCCAACAAGAGAACUCUUGCUUUUGGGUUUCUUCGCGACUAUCGUUUCCGUCAG
Molecule: long non-coding RNA, 3451 nt
Filed under: Megachile rotundata (alfalfa leafcutting bee)
Lineage: Eukaryota; Metazoa; Arthropoda; Insecta; Hymenoptera; Megachilidae
Description: uncharacterized LOC105664317, transcript variant X2
Source: RNAcentral